Long non-coding RNA from Athene cunicularia (burrowing owl), 2329 nucleotides. RefSeq lists it as uncharacterized. NCBI's taxonomy places the organism in Eukaryota, Metazoa, Chordata, Aves, Strigiformes, Strigidae. The record is from RefSeq and is a predicted model, not a curated record. The transcript has 3 exons.
UGGGAGGCAUACCUGUCUGUAAUGUGAGCCAGUGUACUACAUGGAUCUCACCUUUGGCCAUUGAGAGAGAAGUGGAGGAGUUAAUCAUGGAAACAAUCAACUGUUCAACUUCUAAGACUGAAACAAUGUCAGGAUGUGAUACUGAGGAGUGAAGCAACAUGAGAGAAAGGCAAGAUGAUGAUGACAACGCAUCCUCCCCUAAUGGACCCUGCUGAGACAGGGAUUUUGGCUGCAAGGGAGACUUUACAGGCUUUGGGUAUAACCACAACAGGAACUGACACUCGCCCGAUGGCUACAUCAAAUCUUUUUAAGGCAAUGGAAGCUGAACGCUGCCCGAGAGGGCUCCCCUGGCUGACAGACUUCACCCCCUUCUUUCACUAAGCCUUAAAUAAUGAAAUCUUCUGGCAAAACAAAGCAGUUUAGAGAUGUACGGCAUUCUUUAUUUCCUCUUUACCGAGAAGGCAUUUCAUCAGGCAACUUUCUGGGGAAACUGAUUUAAUUAUACAAAUGUAAGAUGCUACUUACCACUUGAUACCUCUCUAGCCUUUAUACAUAAAGUCAGACUCGAAGUAGGGAAAUAACUGGAGCAGACGCGUGCAUGUGUAGUGCCCUGUUUUCCACGGCUAGUCAGUGAUGACAGCAAUGUGGUGGUGUUUCGCACAGCAGCUCCUGCAGAGUAAGCUGGCAGGAGGGUGACACAGAUGAAGGCUACUGUUGUGUCUUCCUCUGUGUGGUUGUGAUUUCUGGUGAUGUUCUGUACAUUUGCAAGGAACAUAAAGAUACUUGGAUUUCUAAGGCUGUAAAAUACUUUUCACUGGGAGGGGUGAGCACGGGCUGAUGAAGAAAUGCAGUCCUGUGAAAAGAUGCCAAAAGUGGCUAUGACAACUCUUUACCAAAAGAGCCCUGUUUGGACCCUGGCGUGCCAGGAGGAACCAGCUCAGCAGGCCCAGCCUGACACAGGGAGUGAUAUGGGGAAAUCCUACAGACCCUUCCCCUGAUGUCAACCCCUGCCUGAGCAGGACUCAGGGACAGUUUUACUUCCCAGCUCAUCUCAGCCCAACAGCCUAUGUCUUGAGUAGUCCCAAAGAGUCAGCUGGGGCAGCAUCCUGCUGGCAGGACCUGCAGCUCUGGCUGCUUUGAAGGAAAAUGCAGCUUCCUCAAGGGGACACUAUUCCUGCCUCCAGUUUGUGGUCGGCUUGAAGACUUGAAGCCUGAGAGCUGAUGAACCUUGUCAUUUCAUCUCAACUGACAGUGCUGCAGAUGCUCAAAUGAGGUCGAUGCUGGAUCUUUGUUUAAAACUUGCCUGCGUGCUUUACCUCCCUGAUGGCUGAUGGCUCUCACAGGUCACAGAAAUCAUCUGCCACAGUGAUACUCAACCUGUGCCUCCCAUGCCUCAGUGCAUCUCCUGCAGCCUGGCAGUAGCUCCCCUCACAUCUGCUGUUUGUGAAGCAGGCAGGGAGCUGAUCACAGGAGGCUGCGGGGGAGAACAACGCCAGGCAGGAGAAGUCACGCUUGCCUCUGCUUCUGUUACAGCCAAGAAGGAAGAGAAACAUGCUCCUUCCCCUCAGGCAGUGGAAUAAAAAGAAACCACAGAGGACCACAAAACCAUCACAGGACAACAUCUGCAAACGCUGUGCACUGCCUCGAACAGGCUGGGACACAAGCACGUGAAGAUAACCCUGUGUGGCAACUUCGCAUCAGUUGUUCUGCAGUUUGCUUUCACAUGAGGGGAAUUAAAUGGAUGCUGACACAGGAUCAGAGCCAACAGAAUUAUGUUUUCAAAGGGAAAAAUCCCCACAUAAUAUGUCACAGACAUGUCUCUUCUCACACAGCUCCCACCCCAGACAGUGCUCUCCCUCCAAGCGGGGAGCAAGCAGGAGUACCUGGAAGCUACCUUUGUGCACCUGAGGCACCUAGUUUUAUUAAGCCAAGCUUUCUUAAAGAGGAAGUGAGAGCCCAGCUAGGAAAAGCUUUUCUUAGGCUAUGAUUUUUCAGAUCCUUUGUUUCUCUUUAAAGUCUUACUAAGAAAAAAAAAUGAAAUCCAGAGGUUUUAUUUCUAUUUAGAGCAUUUUGAGUUUAAAAUAAGCCUUCAACCUGAUCCUAGCAAGAAGCAGGCCACACCAGUAGCUGAUGGAGAAAACCAGAGGAACAUGCUUUCCCAGCCUAUACCCAUUACAGGUAUGUGGUUGUUUCUCUUUCUGUAAAUCAAGCCCUGGACAGGGUUUUCUAAGGGCUGGUUGAUCAUGUAUUUCUAGAGCUUGCAAAACGGACAAAGAUAAAAGUGGGGAUUAUCCAUUGCUUUGAAGGAUAAAUAUAGAAGUAGUAUAAA